Molecule: ribosomal RNA, 254 nt
Filed under: uncultured bacterium
Lineage: Bacteria
Description: partial 16S ribosomal RNA
Rfam family: Bacterial small subunit ribosomal RNA
Source: RNAcentral
UACGUAGGGUGCAAGCGUUGUCCGGAAUUAUUGGGCGUAAAGAGCUCGUAGGCGGUUUGUCGCGUCUGCUGUGAAAACGCGAGGCUCAACCUCGCGCCUGCAGUGGGUACGGGCAGACUAGAGUGUGGUAGGGGAGAUUGGAAUUCCUGGUGUAGCGGUGGAAUGCGCAGAUAUCAGGAGGAACACCAAAGGCGAAGGCAGUGUCCUGGGGAGUACCGUGACGCUCAGGUGCGAAAGCCAGGGGAGCGAACGGG